Non-coding RNA from Pelobates cultripes (western spadefoot toad), 277 nucleotides. The record is from the annotation of a GenBank genome assembly. Lineage: Eukaryota; Metazoa; Chordata; Amphibia; Anura; Pelobatidae.
UUUGGAUUUGUGCUGCCCUAGGCAUGGCUAAAUUCAGGAACCCCCUAAAGUAAAUUUGCCUCACCAAUUUGUGUGAAGGCCACUUUUUUGAAUGACAUACACUUACUGACAGAUACAGAGUCAUUGGCACACAUACAGCCUUUGGCACACACACUAGUUAACCAACACACACUUUCACUGACAGACACACACUCACAGACACACACAUCCUCACUGAUUUGAGACACUCUGACAGACACAUAAACAUUCACUGACUCACAGACAAACACUGACAGCU